This is a long non-coding RNA of Cornus florida, 4852 nucleotides long. RefSeq lists it as uncharacterized. The transcript has 4 exons. NCBI's taxonomy places the organism in Eukaryota, Viridiplantae, Streptophyta, Magnoliopsida, Cornales, Cornaceae. The record is from RefSeq and is a predicted model, not a curated record.
CUCCUUUCUUUUCUCGCCCUAUCACUCCAAAUCAACCCUACCAAACACACCCUAAACUUCCCAACUACAUCGUUACUGGACAGUUCUGCCAUUAACAAUCGACGCGCCAAACAGUUCCCAAAAUGAGAACCCUCACUCGAUCAAUCAUCUUCUCUUAUACUUUCUCUUUCAUCUCCCUCUUCACUCCCCGUCUUGGGCGUCCAAAUCAAAGCUUGAAAAGUGCGAAAACGUUUCCUAUUCCAGUACCCUCAAUUGCACAACCAAGAUCCUCAUUGGCAUGGCCGUCCCAAGUGAAUCAGAGUAUUAUGUUAAGACACACAAAUGUGGGCCAGAUUAUGGUGCAGAUGUUGUGAAUAUAUGAGGCAAGUAACUCUUGUUCUUUUAUUUGAAUCUUCAGCCACCUCUUCAUAUGUAAAUUUUGAACUUAAGAUCACGUUACUUGUUAAGUGUUAAUCUUGUUAUACAUAUUGUUUGGUUUCGAUGUAAUUGUGCCAUUUUAAGGUUAGGAUUUGUGUUUACAGUUCACAUGCAUUUUUUUUUUUUAAGAGUUCAACAUGACAUUUAAGAUGAUAUUUGAGAUCACUUUAUUCUUGUUAUGUUCAAUUUGUGAUAUGUAGUUCCUGUAUUUUUUAGUUCACCUCAUUGAUGAAAUUUUAACUUGCCAAUUUGAUUUUUUAUUCAAAAUGUACAUUGAUUAUCAUUAUUAUCUUCACCAUGUUCAUAAGGACAAGUACAAACAUGGUCUAAUUUUCGAAAAAAAAAAGAAAGUACAAACAUGGUCAAACCAAGAGUUCUAGUAUCUCGCAGCAAGUUUACUUGCAGAAAGGCAAUGGUCCCUGUACGCAAAAAAGAAAGAGAAUCCAAUAUUAUCAUACAUAGUGAUAAAAGCCCAGACAUUUUUUCCCCCUGAAGGGAUGACUUGAUAAAAACAACAAAUAAAUUACAGCACAAGGAGGAGGCAUACCCCCUAAAUUAAAAAACUGGAAUGGAAAAAGCCCAUUUCCAGUUAACCCGAAACCUAAUAACAAGAACACUAGCAGCCAACAUCAAGAAUGAAAAAUAGCAAGUGAAAGUCUGCUAAAUUAAAAUUAAAAUGAUGAAGAACAUCCCAAACAAUGGCAUUGGCUGUGGAAUAAGGCUGAGCUGAUGUCCCGUAAUGCAGAGAUGCAUUUCAACCAAGACGAAAAUUACAAGUACAAGCAUAGAAUAUUGGAACCUCUUGGUGUUUUGCUUCAGCGAUACAAGUGACUUGCCUGUGCAUAAUCCAGGUUUGAUAAAAUAGAGUUGGAUGCUGUUUCCUGUUGCUUAUUUUUCUCAGAGAUCCGAACAUGAAAGCCAUUUGGAAAUUGUAAACCGGGAGUCCGGACAAUGCCACCUCCUCUAAUUGCUUGCCACCUGACAAUUUCAGAUGUAAAAUAGGUUAGCUUCUCUCUCUCUCUCUCUCUCUCUCAUACAAAGUUGCUUAUACAAUACCUGAAUAGAUGACGCUCUUACCCGUACUUUGUCACCAAACAGUGGAGAAAUACAGCCAUUUGCACCUUAGCAAAAUCUGCUCCCACACAAAAUCUCACGCCCCCUCCAAAAGCCAUGAAUUGUUUAGAUGUAAGAUUCAGUUCCAUUCCCUGUGUGCCGUUAUUUAUCAUACUACAUGAGAAUUUAAAAGAAAGAACAAUAGAUUUAAGCAUGGACGAUAAGUUUCUUAUUGGCAGUGAACUACUUGCAAUAAUUAAGAUUAAUUAAAGAGCAGGUAAAUUUGCAGUACUCUACUUACUUUCCAUCUCCAUGGAUUGAAGUCAAGGGGAUCCUUAAAUUUGUCAGGGUUCAAGUGUACAGCUGGAGGACAGACCAUAACCGCCCAAUCAGCUGGAAUGGUAUAGCCUGUGCCAAUCCGAAGUUCAUAUUAAGAGAACAUUUUGAGCUUGUCAACUGGAGUAAUAUGAUAGGAUGUGAAGACAUAAUAAAGGUUGUCAUAGUGAAAGAGGCAUUAAUUUUACUGACUGUUAUUUCCUUCAACACCAAAGGAUGGUCCAAAAGAAAUUUGGUGCCAAAGGUUAGAGCGAGGGAAGUUGUCUCAAAGCUGGCAAACAGUAGCUCAAACAUUAAAUCCAGAGCAAUUGCUUCUGUAAGGAUUGUAUUCUCUUUCACAAGCUCUUCAAGGAUAUAAUCAAAGAAAUCACUUUGUUGCUUCCUAGGAUUUGCUCGUCUGUCCUCAAGCAUGUGCUUCAGCAUCCUCAUUGCCUUCUUCCUUCCCCGAAGAAACUCAGAAGAUUCAAAACUAAUGGCGGACCAGGUUUUUUUGGAAACCAAUGUUGAAAAUAAUUUACCGCAUUAAACAGUUUUUGACUAAGAAUUGGCAUUACAAUAUCUUCUAGUUUACCAAACAAUUUCAAUCUGCCAAUCUAUGCUUGGAAAAAUUCAGUCUUAACUAGCCAUAUUUUCAGCUUUUCCGGAUGCAUAAUAAUUUAAAGUAGAAUGAAUUAAUGUGAUUUAAAUGAUCAAGAUUAGUGUGGACGAUUUUGAUAUACCUGUAGACAUUUGUGGUAAGCAGUUCCAGGAAUAUCUAAAGGGAAGGAGAUUAAUCCCUGCAUGAAAAGCAACGAAGUUCUUCCACAGAAUUUCUGAUGACUUCUCUGAAUCAUAACUGAUUAGUUUUUUGGCAGUCAGAUCCAAUAUCAUCUGUAAACACAGAAAUGUUAGCAGACUCGUAAUGACAAAGGGUUGGUGAAUUUCUAAUUCGAAGAGAAAAUAUCAGAUUGCAUAAGCUUACACUUGCAGUUGCAUUCUUCAAUUCAACUGUGUGCUGACUCGGCCACCUCUUUAAGUUUCUACAUACUGUCUGUUCAACUUCAGGAAUCAUCCUUUUCAGGCUUUCAUGACCAAAAAGAUUCAGCACCAUGCUCUUGAGGCAUUUAUACAUAAACCCAUGCAAGGAACUCACACUUUGUCGUCCCAAGAUCUCCAUGAAGGUAUCUGGAUACCAGCUCUGGAACAGUCGUCCCUCUUUUUGAAAAAUGAAGUAAUUAAGAUCCGAGUCUGUGGAUACAAUUACUGGUUGUCCGACCAAACUGGUUCGGAAUAUUGGCCCAUAUCUGAAAAAUAAUAGUAAAAAAUUACAUUAUAAGAAGAAGGAUGAGAAUGCUGAUAAAGAUUGCGCUACUCUGUUAACAUGUUUGUCUGUUGGUUAUAAUGAGUCUAUAUAGCUUAGCAGUUGCAAUAUAUAGGGAAGUAUUGACUUCUAUGUCUUUGCCUAUGAACAGAUUCCCUAUAUAUAUAUAUAUCUAUAUAUUUUUUUGAUGCGGAACCUCACAACCACCAGCCUUUUGAACUUGUGGCUUUUAGGUAAAUUCUGAAUAUAUGCAACCGCCAACAAGCCACACUUAUCGGUUAAGGAGGAAUAUCUGAGGAAGUGUUGGGUGCAAAGAACUGAAGAGUCUCGCCGAGGAGGGGCAAGCCCAUUGAACCUGGAGGGAGUUUUCCAUUGCAUAACGGAUUCCUCCAGCGGUAAACCCAAUGUGUAAUGCUUAUAAUAACCAGAGCUCCUUUGCACAAAGCAAUUGGUCCCAUCUUGAAUUGAGAAAAUUUAGAAGGCGGCAAGAGAAGCUUGAAGUGUGAAAAUUUUAGAAUUCUGUACUUACUUUCUGGUACAAGAAAGUGUGUGUUGAGAUAAAGAUAAAUUCAUGAGAAUGUAUCGUAUUUUAAAUAUGCGAAGGACAUAGAGAAGAAACCAAGAGAGAAUAAACUGAUUGUUGAAUAAGUAUAGAAUUAGGUUCCCAAGAGAGACAACGAACUAUAUAUAUUCACUUUCUUCCAAUGGCACCAAACUCACUCCAUCAAACGGUGUGUUAUUGUUCGCAUUUUAUUUGAGUCAGCGCGAUUUUUUUUUUUCUUCUUUAGUUUUAUUCUACAAGACUUCAUACAAUUUGGAGAUGGUACCAGCAAAUUUAACCACUUCACCUUUACCUCGAGUUAUAAAUUGAACAAUCGCACAUCAUUAGAAAAAAAACCAUGCAGAUCGGGCUCAAAGUGGACACUAUUGUACUAUGUGAUGGAUUGGGUCUUUACAAAAUUGUAGUGAUCCCAAAUUGUCUAGAUCAGGUGAAGAUGAAGAUGAAUUACUUAUAUAUACCGAUGCUAUCUCCUAAUGAUAUGAGAUCUUUUGGAGUAAAACUCAAAAAUAAAAUCACACGGGUUCAAGUGAAUACUGACAAUAUCAUAUCACGUGGUGGAUUAAUGUUGUACCACAUCGAAGGAUGAUUGUAGCAACCUAUGUGGAUGAGCUACACAUUGGGUUGUCCAAUGCACCAAUCAACAAUUCAUUACGUUACAUAUUUUUGCACCCUGCUCAAUAUGCAUUCACAUACAAGGCAUUCAUUGGAGGUUCUACAAAUGGAGUCCUUCACCCUCAUUGAUGAUAACCUGUACCGGAUCAGAUCACCGAUGCUUGCUAAAACUGCCCAUUGAGUCGAAUUUCUUGCUUUAAAGAAGGCUAUGGCAUUAUGUUCCAUCCAAAUUUGAUUCACACCAGUGGACAAUGCAAAUGCUAGUUUGUUGACUGAAUUUUGGAGGGUUUUCUUCUUCUAGUGGUGCAAAGCCCAAACAAUCAAGUGAUCCCACGAAACACGGAGAAUAUGGAAAUUACAUUUUGUCACCAUAUUAUGUAAGACACACAUAUGUGAAUAAGGCAAAGGUAGCACCCCAGGUGUAUUAUGUAAGACACACAAAUGUGAGCCAGAUGCUGGUGCAGAUGUUGUUAAUUUAUGCGAGAGGCAAGUAACUCUUGUUCUUUUAUUCGUACCUUCAACCACCUCUUCUUAUGUAAAUUAUGAAUUUGAGAUCACUUUAUUCUUGUUAU